UCUCUGCUAAGUCGGAAGACGAAGUAUAGGGGCUGACGCCUGCCCGGUGCUGGAAGGUUAGGGGAAGUGUGAGAGCACUGAACCGAAGCCCCAGUGAACGGCGGCCGUAACUAUAACGGUCCUAAGGUAGCGAAAUUCCUUGUCGGGUAAGUUCCGACCCGCACGAAAGGCGUAACGACUUGGGCGCUGUCUUGAUGAGGGGCCCGGUGAAAUUGUAGUACUCGUGAAGAUGCGAGUUACCCGCGAUUGGACAGAAAGACCCCGUGGAGCUUUACUGUAGCCUGUCACUGGAUUUUGGUAAUUCUUGUACAGGAUAGGUGGGAGACGGAGAAGGUAGGGCGCCAGCCUUACUGGAGUCGGCGUUGGGAUACCACCCUGGGAUUACCGGAAUUCUAACCUAUAGCCGUGGAACCGGCGUAGGGACAAUGGCAGGUGGGCAGUUUGACUGGGGCGGUCGCCUCCUAAAGGGUAACGGAGGCGCCCAAAGGUUACCUCAGCGCGGACGGGAAUCGCGCGAGAGAGUGCAAAGGCAGAAGGUAGCCUGACUGCGAGAGAGACAUCUCGAGCAGGGACGAAAGUCGGGCUUAGUGAUCCGGCGGCAGUGAGUGGGAACGCCGUCGCUCAACGGAUAAAAGCUACCCCGGGGAUAACAGGCUGAUCUCCCCCAAGAGUCCACAUCGACGGGGAGGUUUGGCACCUCGAUGUCGGCUCAUCGCAUCCUGGGGCUGAAGUAGGUCCCAAGGGUUGGGCUGUUCGCCCAUUAAAGCGGUACGCGAGCUGGGUUCAGAACGUCGUGAGACAGUUCGGUCCCUAUCCGUCGCGGGCGAAGGAAACUUGAGAGGCACUGCCCCUAGUACGAGAGGACCGGGGUGGACGAACCGAUGGUGUACCAGUUGCACCGCCAGGUGCACAGCUGGGUAGCCAAGUUCGGAGGGGAUAAACGCUGAAAGCAUCUAAGCGUGAAGCCCGCCUCAAGAUUAGGUUUCCCACCCGAGAGGGGUAAGACACCUCGAAGACCACGAGGUAGAUAGGCCGGGGGUGUAAGAGUGGAAACACUCUUAGCUGACCGGUACUAAUCAGUCGAGGACUUGACCG
This 1095-nucleotide ribosomal RNA is filed under the name Thermoanaerobacter siderophilus SR4. Its description in RNAcentral is "bacterial LSU rRNA". It matches the Rfam family "Bacterial large subunit ribosomal RNA", at positions 1820 to 2925 of the family's 2925-position model. The record is from RNAcentral. Lineage: Bacteria; Bacillati; Bacillota; Clostridia; Thermoanaerobacterales; Thermoanaerobacteraceae.